GACGAACGCUGGCGGCGUGCUUAACACAUGCAAGUCGAACGAAGUGGCGAACGGGUGAGUAACGCGUAAUCAACCUGCCCUUCAGAGGGGGACAACAGUUGGAAACGACUGCUAAUACCGCAUACUGAAGGCGGGGAUUGCGUCUGAUUAGCUCGUGGGAGGGGUAACGGCCCACCAAGGCGAUGAUCAGUCGCCGGGCUGCGAGGAUGAACGGCCACAAUGGGACUGGGACACGGCCCAGACUCCUACGGGAGGCAGCAGGGGGGAAUAUUCCGCAAUGGGGGAAAGUCUGACGGAGCAACGCCGCGUGAGUGAUGACGGCCUUCGGGUUGUAAAGCUCUGUUAAGCGGGACGCGGUACCGGAAUAGAAAGCCACGGCUAACUACGUGCCAGCAGCCGCGGUAAUAC
This 408-nucleotide ribosomal RNA is filed under the name uncultured bacterium. RNAcentral's name for it is "partial 16S ribosomal RNA". It matches the Rfam family "Bacterial small subunit ribosomal RNA", at positions 28 to 526 of the family's 1533-position model. The record is from RNAcentral.